RNAcentral lists this ribosomal RNA (1059 nucleotides) under uncultured crenarchaeote. RNAcentral's name for it is "bacterial SSU rRNA". It matches the Rfam family "Archaeal small subunit ribosomal RNA", at positions 290 to 1362 of the family's 1478-position model. Lineage: Archaea; Thermoproteati; Thermoproteota. The record is from RNAcentral.
CGCGGGAUUCGGGGGCACGGGGGGACGGGGCGCAGCAGGCGCGAAACCUCCUCAAUGCACUAACGUGCGAAGGGGUUACCUCGAGUGCUAUCUGAAAAAGGUGGCUUUUCCUUGGUCUAAAACGCCUUGGGAAUAAGAGGGGGGCAAGACUGGUGUCAGCCGCCGCGGUAACACCAGCCCCUCGAGUGGUGGGGAUGAUUAUUUGGCCUAAAGCGUCCGUAGCCGGCCGGAUAAGUUUCCCGUUAAAUCCAACGUCUCAAGCGUUGGACUGCGGGAAAUACUGCCUGGCUAGAGAGUGGGAGAGGUCAGCGGUAUUCUGGGGGUAGGGGCGAAAUCCUUUGAUCCCCGGAGGACCACCAGUGGCGAAGGCUGCUGACUAGAACACGUCUGACGGUCAGGGACGAAAGCUGGGGUAGCGAACCGGAUUAGAUACCCGGGUAGUCUCAGCCGUAAACGAUGCAUGCUAGGUGUUGGGUUGGCCACGAGCCACCCCAGUGCCGCAGGGAAGCCGUUAAGCAUGCCGCCUGGGAAGUACGAUCGCAAGAUUGAAACUUAAAGGAAUUGGCGGGGGAGCACCACCAGGCGUGAAGCCUGCGGUUUAAUUGGAGUCAACGCCGGGAACCUUACCGGAAGCGACAGCAGAGUGAAGGUCAGAUUGAAGAUCUUGCCAGACGAGCUGAGAGGAGGUGCAUGGCCGUCGCCAGUUCGUGCCGUGAGGUGUUCUCUUAAGUGAGAUAACGAACGAGACCCACGCCACAUGUUGCCAUCAGAAUCUAAAUGAUUGCUGGGCACUCUUGUGGGACCGCAGCCGAUAAGGCUGAGGAAGGGGUGGGCAACGGCAGGUCAGUAUGCCCCGAAUCUUCCGGGCCACACGCGGGCUGCAAUGGUAUGGACAGAGGGCUGCCACCCCGAGAGGGGGAGCCAAUCCCUAAACCAUACCUCAGUUGGGAUUGAGGGCUGCAACCCGCCCUCAUGAACAUGGAAUGCCUAGUAACUGCCAGUCAUCAUCUGGCGGUGAAUACGUCUCUGCUCCUUGCACGAAUUCGCCGAAUCACUAGU